UAGGGUUUGAUCAUGGCUCAGGACGAACGCUGGCGGCGUGCUUAACACAUGCAAGUCGAGCGAUGAAGCACCUUCGGGUGUGAAUUAGCGGCGAACGGGUGAGGAACACGUGAGAAAUCUGCCUUCAACACUGGGAUAACUCCGGGAAACCGGGGCUAAUACCGGAUAUGAAACCUGCGGGCAUCCGCGGGUUUGGAAAGUUUUUCGGUUGAAGAUGAUCUCGCGGCCUAUCAGCUUGUUGGUGAGGUAAUGGCUCACCAAGGCGACGACGGGUAGCCGGCCUGAGAGGGCGACCGGCCACACUGGGACUGAGACACGGCCCAGACUCCUACGGGAGGCAGCAGUGGGGAAUAUUGGGCAAUGGAGGAAACUCUGACCCAGCGACGCCGCGUGCGGGAUGAAGGCCUUCGGGUUGUAAACCGCUUUCAGCAGGGAAGAAGCGAAAGUGACGGUACCUGCAGAAGAAGCACCGGCUAACUAUGUGCCAGCCGCCGCGGUAAUAC
Molecule: ribosomal RNA, 503 nt
Filed under: uncultured Nostocoides sp.
Lineage: Bacteria; Bacillati; Actinomycetota; Actinomycetes; Micrococcales; Intrasporangiaceae
Description: bacterial SSU rRNA
Rfam family: Bacterial small subunit ribosomal RNA
Source: RNAcentral